CAGGAUGCCCAGUAAAAUUUGCGCUACAGAUAAAUAACGAAAAAUAUUUUAAGUAUGCCCCAUGCAAUAUUUGGGACAUACUUAUACUAAAGAAUCAUUCCACUUUUUUCUGAAAUUCAAAUCUAACUGAGAAUCCUGUA
Molecule: microRNA precursor, 140 nt
Filed under: Vicugna pacos (alpaca)
Lineage: Eukaryota; Metazoa; Chordata; Mammalia; Artiodactyla; Camelidae
Description: miRNA (ENSVPAG00000016403.1)
Source: RNAcentral